UACAGAGGUCCCAAGCGUUGUUCGGAUUCAUUGGGCGUAAAGGGUGCGUAGGCGGCGCGGUAAGUCGGGUGUGAAAUCUCGGGGCUUAACUCCGAAACUGCAUUCGAUACUGCCGUGCUUGAGGACUGGAGAGGAGACUGGAAUUUACGGUGUAGCGGUGAAAUGCGUAGAUAUCGUAAGGAAGACCAGUGGUGAAGGCGGGUCUCUGGACAGUUCCUGACGCUGAGGCACGAAGGCCAGGGGAGCAAACGGG
This 253-nucleotide ribosomal RNA is filed under the name uncultured bacterium. Its description in RNAcentral is "partial 16S ribosomal RNA". It matches the Rfam family "Bacterial small subunit ribosomal RNA", at positions 524 to 776 of the family's 1533-position model. The record is from RNAcentral.